Long non-coding RNA from Carassius auratus (goldfish), 2803 nucleotides. RefSeq lists it as uncharacterized. The transcript is spliced from 3 exons. The record is from RefSeq and is a predicted model, not a curated record. Lineage: Eukaryota; Metazoa; Chordata; Actinopteri; Cypriniformes; Cyprinidae.
GUGCAUGACAAGGACACUGUAAAAUAGCCUGUUUAUUAAAUAUUUUUAUUAACAUAUGUUUUAUUAACAUAAGAUGUGAUAAAAAUGAAAUUGCAGACAAAAAGGCCUUUGAUUAAAUGCGUCUAUUCUGUUGAAAAUUGCCAACAGAUAAAUUACAGGCGAGUGUUAGAAGUGUGUUUUAAGAGAGUCUAUUUUCUAAAAGCCCACAGGGACAAAACCUGAACACACACUCAUAGAUACUGCUCCACAUGCACUCACUCUUUGGUACUAUAUUAGGUGCACACUGUGUGUGCAAACAGCCCUCUUGUCUCGAGGGCAUAAUCCAUUUGAUGUUUACAUCAAGUGCUAUUGUGGCAGAUGUGGUAAAAUGUCCCUUAGGGGUGUUUAUCCUCAGCUGGGAGUCCAGACUGGUUUGACACCUGAGCUCCACUGCUCUCACUCUUUACAGCAAAUCUGCUUGUGAGCCAUUGAGAUUCAUCAAAUAUUUAAUGGCCACAGUUUCCGUGCCGUGAGAAGAAGGGGUUAGGGAGAGAGAACGAGAGAACAGAUAAACAAAAAGAGGUUGCUCCCACGGAAAUGGGAGGUCAGUGAGAUGGCGGGGACGGUUAAUGACGGCCAAGCAGCCCAAGUGGGGUAAGUGACCUCACUACGAGUACAACACUUAACUGCUGAUGUUUUGCUAGCUUCAGGGUGAGUUUAAGGUCUUGGCUGGGGAAACUCAAGCCUAUGAGUGUGACUCGUAAACGGAUGGAUUAACUGAUAACCUCCCGUUGAGGGGUAAACAGCAGUAAUUGAACUAAGGCACUGUCUAAGAAAAAAGCCCAGCAAUGUGUUAGGGAUUUUAUUACAAUGCAGAAACAAAUAAACAAAACCAAUAUAAACGUAUUUUUAUGCUUCACUCUUUCAUUUAAAAAUACAGAAUGAUUAUGUCUGACCAAAGUGGCAAGGAAGAAGACUCUUUACUGGACCAACAGGAAAAGCACCGUUAACCUUUUGUGACGAGUGGGGCGGGGCCGAGAGGAGUGGGAACGAAGAGUGAGGCCAGGUGUAAGUGACUACAUAGAAUUUUGACAUUGUUGCGCCUAUAUAGAGAUUUGACAUUCUAUGGCGCUCUAGAAUACUUGAUUCUUAUUGGUCAGCAGGAACAGAUCACAAUGAGAACUUGCUUGCAUUCAAAAACGCGAAACACUGCGAAAUUAAAUUGAUUUUAUUUUAAUUUUAACUUUGCAACUUUGCUUUCUCAAGACACAGCAUGCACGUUUGUAUAAAAAAAUAGAGCAAAACCCAAAACCAAGCAUAAAGACAAGGGUAAACAUCGCAGAGGCAUGUGUGAAAGGUUUUACUUAAUUUAUUAAGACUUUCUAUGAUUAAAAACGUCUGGAAAAGCAACGAGAUGCAGUACUCAUGUUUACAUAUAAAACUGCUUACAAAGCAGCGCUAGUGGACGCAAAAACAUACUCUGUGUGAACUGUAUCUAAACCCUGCUACUCAUUCUCUUCUAUUUCAUUAUGGGCUACUAAAGGUCGUUUCAUGCGAGGAAGGGAGCAGUUGUGUUACACAGGAGAAAUCUGAAUCCAACCAGACCCCAUACAUUGCUCCGGCCUUGGCAGUGACUCCAGUAGGCCUACACACACAGAGUAUACAUUUAUCAUAUGGAUAAGGUUCAUUAAAAAUGCUGAACAGUUUGUCCUUGUGCAAAUGUUCAGCACUGAAAUGCUAAUGCUGUUUACUCAGGUGGAUGAUGGGAAACAAUGGCCAGCCACAGGCCUAAAUUUACUCUAGGAUAUUCUGAGCUGUUUGUUCUGUGGUAAAAAAAAAAAAAAAUAGAUAAAAUAAAACAUUGUAGAAAUAACAUGUAUGCAUAGAGUGAAAUACGUCCGAUAGUGUGUUGGCAUAGGUGGAGUAGGCUUUGUAAAGUAAUUAAUUGAAUAAUGAGUGUGUGCUUCAAUAGCUAUAGGAGUCCCCUUUGAUCUCUGUUGGUACUGCUUGAAAUCUCUCCCAAUCGAAGAGCAAAACAUACCUCGGGCACAGUGAGAAACUCAUGUUUGUACUUAAUGUGCAACUAUAUUAAAUAUAGGGCAUGUUGCAAUAGAUUAAUGAUCUGGUUUGUCUGCCUUUUUAGCACUAGAUAGACUCUGGGGUUGGAUUUCAUUGAUCUGGCAUGCAUUCAGUAUAUUGUUGCCAACUUGCAACCCUUUCAGCUGGUUGUAAAUUAUGUAGCUGAGUUAGCUUUGCAAAAUAUAACGUGUCAUUGCCGCAUGUGUGCGCUAGAUGGAGGAGUUCAGUAAAGGUUUUGUUAGUUGCAGGCGGACAGUGAGGAUCUAACACUGCCCCCCAGUGGUGAGCAUUUGAAGUACAAGCGAGACCCCAGACCUCAUUUUGGAGUAGCCCACUCCUCUCGCUCUGUGUCUUUCCCCUGUGGGACAGUGAUAGGCCAAGGGAGAUGAAGAGGGGAGAGGAGGAAGAGGAAUCUGUCAGCUGUUGUCCUCACUGCCACCUUGGGCUGCCACGUGAAACACUACGCUGGAAUGAGGCAAGAAUGAAGGAAUGAGGAGAGGCUGAGAGGUUCAUUUCUCAAGCACAGUCUUCACGUUUCAGGUGUUAUCUGAGGCAGCCAAAGAGACUCAAAGUUGCCUCAAGCUGAGAGUUCACACAUGGAGUGAAUUGUCAACAAGGUUGAGUCUAGCAACAUCCUAAAGCUAGAGGUGUCCAUGCACCAUUGGCUUAUGAGGCAAGACAGGAUGCCAAAAUGAUUUUUACUGGCUUUCUAAAUCAGAAUCUAAAUCAUAUAUAUAUAUAUAUA